This 31-nucleotide non-coding RNA is filed under the name Mus musculus (house mouse). Lineage: Eukaryota; Metazoa; Chordata; Mammalia; Rodentia; Muridae. The record is from RNAcentral.
UGGAAUGUUUUUCAUUCUGUUAUUGCAGUGA